AGGACGAACGCUGGCGGCGCGCCUAACAUAUGCAAGUCGAACGAGAGAUGAGGAGCUUGCUCUUCAAAUCGAGUGGCGAACGGGUGAGUAACGCGUGAGGAACCUGCCUCAAAGAGGGGGACAACAGUUGGAAACGACUGCUAAUACCGCAUAAGCCCACGACCCGGCAUCGGGUUGAGGGAAAAGGAGCAAUCCGCUUUGAGAUGGCCUCGCGUCCGAUUAGCUAGUUGGUGAGGUAAUGGCCCACCAAGGCAACGAUCGGUAGCCGGACUGAGAGGUUGAACGGCCACAUUGGGACUGAGACACGGCCCAGACUCCUACGGGAGGCAGCAGUGGGGAAUAUUGCACAAUGGGGGAAACCCUGAUGCAGCGACGCCGCGUGGAGGAAGAAGGUCUUCGGAUUGUAAACUCCUGUUGUUGAGGAAGAUAAUGACGGUACUCAACAAGGAAGUGACGGCUAACUACGUG
This 468-nucleotide ribosomal RNA is filed under the name uncultured bacterium. RNAcentral's name for it is "bacterial SSU rRNA". It matches the Rfam family "Bacterial small subunit ribosomal RNA", at positions 26 to 507 of the family's 1533-position model. The record is from RNAcentral.